RNAcentral lists this long non-coding RNA (13677 nucleotides) under Drosophila guanche. The record is from RNAcentral. Lineage: Eukaryota; Metazoa; Arthropoda; Insecta; Diptera; Drosophilidae.
UCGACUUCUUCAUCUCGUCCUAGCCUUCCGCAUGCAUACAUGGCGUCUCGGUCGCAAGUCGACCGCACCACUCAGAGCAGACGUUCCCGAGGUACGCGAGUUGAUACUGUCGUCUUCUACAUACACACAUACAUACAUCCAUCCAAACCCAUAGAUAUAAACAUAAACAUAUAUAUAAACAUAUAUAUAUUAUCUGUUGCAUUCGAAGGAGAGCGAUAUGCAAAAUACUAGAUUUGGUAGUAUUUUUUUUUGGAGGUUGAUAGGUCGAUAGGCGAAGGGGCAAGGCGAUCAACGGUGCCGGUGAGAGAGCGGCAGAAUGUAAGAGAGGGGAAUAUUGCGGGAUCCACGAGCCAGCUCACCCACACCCUCAAGAAUGCCAUGCUAUGCCCUUGAAUUUGGUUCAAGGGCAAUAGAAGAGAUGAGAUCAGCUGCAGCAAGGGGGACUGCGUAGAGUAGCUACGCUGAACAUGCCGGCAGUGGGAAAAUAAACAUCGGCAGUGUUAGGGCGUUUUGUGUGUGUGACCGUUUAGGAAAACAAACAGACCGGCCAACGUAGAGGACCCUUUUACCCGAAUCGAAAUAAAAAGUGAGUCCAGUCCAAAGGGAAAAUGAAUCCCAGAUUCAAUAUUUUUAAAACCCAUAGGGCGUAAAUUGUAUCGGCUGGCUUCCCGUAGAUGGGCCAAAAUUUCGAUUCCCCGGCCCGCGGAAUCCUGGUCACACCCCUGCCCGGGCGCGACCCGCCACAGCGCCACCGACAAUUAAAUAAUUAAUCCAUGCCUACAUGAACGCAUACCUAUCUACAUGCAUAUAUAAAGACACACCAAAAUAAUAUCUGUCUAUAUUAAUUCAUAUUUAAUUAAUUAGCCGCCCCACAUAUAUUUACCGACCCUAUUAAUGUAAUAUAAAUGUAGUAAUUGUAUUUAUAUUUAUUUUAAUAUUUAUAUUUAUUAUUUUUGUGAUUAUUCCCACCCAUUAAUUUAAGUUGAAGAGUCGGGAAUAGGCGGACGCGCCACGAGACAUUAGUAUAGGGAUUUUUAGUUAAGUAUGUGUUAAGUUUUUGGUUUAAAUAUUAUAACGUUUAAAAUUAAGUGCUAGUGUGUUUAGUAUGGGGGGGAAAGGGGACCACAACGGCGAAAUGGAGAAAGUCCUCCACACUUGGGAAGGAGAUCUGAGGUAUUCUGAGUCGCAUCUCAGGUAGAGUACGUAGGAGCUAGACCAUCGGCACCUCAGACUUGUCCACGUCUGUGUUGGAGAGAUGUUUGUCCGUUAGAUGUAGAGUAAAGUCCGCUGCAUUGUUUUGAAUUAUCGUUUGUUUUUGAUAUUUGUUCGAGAUGUCCGAACAGUUGGUUUGUUGUGCGACCUGGGGGCCUGGGAAGAACUCAGCCCUGGGAUGACUGGCUAGCCGGCCUUGCCCCAACACCAAAACAGGUUCGUAACAUAAUGGCGCCCAAUCUAAGACAAAUUUAUGAGUCGCAGUCCGUUCUCGAACACGAAAGUGGGAGAGUACGGCUGCGAAUCAUAAAGGUCAAAGAGAUUAUAAAUGUCCAGCCGAGAGGAACGUUCUCGAUUGGUAGUCUGCAGUCAGGGUCCGUCUGUGUNAUUAGCCGCCCCACAUAUAUUUACCGACCCUAUUAAUGUAAUAUAAAUGUAGUAAUUGUAUUUAUAUUUAUUUUAAUAUUUAUAUUUAUUAUUUUUGUGAUUAUUCCCACCCAUUAAUUUAAGUUGAAGAGUCGGGAAUAGGCGGACGCGCCACGAGACAUUAGUAUAGGGAUUUUUAGUUAAGUAUGUGUUAAGUUUUUGGUUUAAAUAUUAUAACGUUUAAAAUUAAGUGCUAGUGUGUUUAGUAUGGGGGGGAAAGGGGACCACAACGGCGAAAUGGAGAAAGUCCUCCACACUUGGGAAGGAGAUCUGAGGUAUUCUGAGUCGCAUCUCAGGUAGAGUACGUAGGAGCUAGACCAUCGGCACCUCAGACUUGUCCACGUCUGUGUUGGAGAGAUGUUUGUCCGUUAGAUGUAGAGUAAAGUCCGCUGCAUUGUUUUGAAUUAUCGUUUGUUUUUGAUAUUUGUUCGAGAUGUCCGAACAGUUGGUUUGUUGUGCGACCUGGGGGCCUGGGAAGAACUCAGCCCUGGGAUGACUGGCUAGCCGGCCUUGCCCCAACACCAAAACAGGUUCGUAACAUAAUGGCGCCCAAUCUAAGACAAAUUUAUGAGUCGCAGUCCGUUCUCGAACACGAAAGUGGGAGAGUACGGCUGCGAAUCAUAAAGGUCAAAGAGAUUAUAAAUGUCCAGCCGAGAGGAACGUUCUCGAUUGGUAGUCUGCAGUCAGGGUCCGUCUGUGUUCCGGUGGCCUGUGAGGAGCUUUGAAGGCUGGCUCGCAGAUGCACGGCACUGAGGGAUCUGUAAAUGUAGGAAUCCACAAAGUAAAUUGUUUUUUUUUUGGUUUGAGUUUAAACUUAUCUGACAGAGCGAAGCCGGAGCUCUCAAAGGGGUGAGGUUGGCACUGGCUGAGGAGAGUCCUCAAGCCGGUUAGCAACCGACCCGUUGCCUGGUGGACAAAAGAGAGCCUGGAAAGGAAAAUACCCGAAGUUAGUUAAGUUCGUGUAGUUUUUUUUUGUGCUGCUUCCCCUACUUACCGCUGGAGGACACCGGGAAAGUAGUAUGUCGUAGAGAUUUAUUUUGCUCGAGGUGGCCCGUGGGGACAUUAAGUCGGCCACGCGAUGCACCUGGAGCAGCUACAAGAUCCCGAAGCUAUCCUUCAGUAGAGUAGUGGGACAGAAGCAGCUAGGUAGCAGGGUGAGCGCCCUUGACUCUUAAUCUUCUGUAGAAGGUGAGAGGUCAACAGCGCUCGCGAAGAAGUUGAAGACGUUGGACAAGCAAAGACGUAGGGAACCAAGUGCAGAUGGCCCCAGUAGCAGUUGUGGUUACUUUCCCCUCUUAGUGUUGAUCUUGCAGUAAUUUGAAGUUCCGUGUCAGGUUUUGUUUGAUUUUUGAGUUUCUGUGGAAGAGAGAAAAGUAGGUGGUCAGAAAGUUUAUGAGCAACUACAAUUUACGGUCAAAGGGGAAAAUGACUAGCAGGACUCCUCCGCCAGGAAACUUGCCGGAACAGGGCGCAGAAGGAGGAGAGAACGACAGUUGGAACCAGCCGAAGUACCCAAAAGAAUUGCCGUCGGAAAUUCUUUCGGGCAUAAACGUCGCCAUAACACAAGCGCAGGAGACGCAGAGAGGAGCUAUGGCGGACACCAUCAGCAGGACGCUGCAAGAGGAGAUCCGUCGAGGAUUUAUGGAGCUGAUGAGUGCCAUAACGGAGGCAAUGACGCCCCUGCGCCAGAAGGGAGAGCUGAUCCAGGAUCUGGGCUGGGAGGAUGGUCCGAAUGGCAGAGAAGGCUCCAGAAUGGCGAAGACAUAGUACCGGCACCCGACCCAAAGGGUCCGUGGAACAACAGGAGCAUAUUCCACAAGCGCCUCCGAGGAAGCCGGAGAGACUGAGCCAAUAUUGGUCACGCAGGGUGGAAGAUGGUGGAAGCCUGGAAACGAGACCGAUGGUACCUGAACGUGAACCAGCAGGAGCGGCGAUACACGACGCCCUACGAGAGGCGAGACGACUGGAGAGAGCCGAGAUGGGGACGCAUCGACAAAUGGGACAUCCAUUUCGACGGCGACCCAGACCCGGCCAAACUGACGGUGGAGGAUUUUGUCUUUCGGGUCGAAUUUCUCCAGAGGCAGAGUCGACGCUCGUGGGACGAAGUCCUUGAUAAUUUUCACCAUCUGGUGAGAGGACGUACUGCCGAGUGGUACUGGCAGUUUGUAAGAGAGAGGCCUCCAGAAGUCUGGGAGGACUUAAAGGACGAGUUGGUACCCCGAUUCCGUACAGUAGGUGGGCAAUACGAGCGGCUGCGUGCGUUGAAUGAGCGACGGCAAGAAGCUGGAGAGUCGGUGGAAGAUUACUUUCGAGCGAUGCGGAGGCUGGCUGCAAGACUGAUCACCCCAAUAGCAGAUUCUGAGAUGGUCAGAGUCGUCAAGAAGGGACUCGAGGAGGAGAUCGCUCGUUAUGUGUACGCGAUCCGAGUCCGGAACCUGGAGCAGCUGAGGGAAGAGUGUGUAGAGGUGGAGCACCUUUUCCGCAGACGCGAGCGAAGGUCAGCUUUUCGCCCGACGCUGAAGUUCCAACAAUCCGGUAAGCGAGUGGAGGAGAUCGAGCCAGAGUCGGAGGAGCUGUUGGAAGGAGAGGAAGAGGUGAUGGUUGAGGAAACCCACCUGACAGCGAAGCCGAGGCUGGGCUGCUGGAAUUGCGGAGAAGUUGGCCACGGGUUUCGAGAGUGUAUGGCCAAGGAACGCAGAGUAUUCUGCUAUCUCUGCGGAAGGCCCGAAACGUACACGCCGAAGUGUCCCAACUGCUCGGGAAACGCAAGAACGGGCAUGAUGAAGGCGGGAUAUCAGAGCUCGGGACGGAAGCCCGCGAGGAAGUGAAGGAAGCGCUAUUGGAGGUUGUACAAAUUAAGCAUAUUAACCCAAGUAGUAUAGAAAAAAAUAGUUUAAAAUUCUUACCGGUCGAAGAGAGGAUGAGAAAGUAUAAACAAGCCCGAAAUCGGAUCUUUGACGGACAUCAGCUGAAUGGAAUGCGAGGUGUCAGCCGUAGACUCCAGAGGGCCCGUGCACGCUUCCGGCAAAGGAGACAGACUCGCAAGGAGGUGGCGGAAGCAGUCAGGCGUGGAGCAGGACGUGACCCAAGGGUUUUUGCCGAGGUGCAAAUUCUAGGACGGAAGAUUUCCGGACUCCUGGAUACUGGGGCAUCCGUAAGUGUCCUCGGAAAGGGCAGUCGUGAGCUCCUAGACGACCUCGGGGUGGAGAUGGACAACUAUAUCUCGAUCGUCAAAACCGCCGCAGGAGAGGACAGGACCAUAUUCGGCAAGGCGAGAAUCCCUGUGGAGUACAACGGAAUCAGCAAGGACAUUCUCUUUUACAUCUGUCCAUACCUGGAGCAAGUCAUGUACUUGGGGGUCAAUUUUUGGAGGUCGUUGGAGUUGGCUCCCACAGUCCUCGGUCCGUAUCCAAGUUCGACAAGCGAUGCCAAAAUAUCCGAAGUCCAGAUGUCACAGAUCAGUCAAUAUGUCGAAGACCACCAGGAGAACGUACAUGUGGACGCGUGGGACCUGGAAGAGAAGGAAGCUGAAAACUGGAGAAGGUAAAGGGGGAGUUCCUGACUUACGAAGAUGCCGGACUAGGGUCAACGACUGUAGAGGAGCAUCGGAUCCAGUUGGUAGAGGGCGCGGAGCCGUUUAAGGAUCGACACUACCCUCAAUCCCCAGCGAUGCAGGAAGUGGUCUGGACCGAAGUGGACAAGAUGCUGGAACUAGGAGUGAUAGAGGUUAGCGAUAGUCCGUGGAGCAAUAGGACGACGGUAGUGCGGAAACCUAACAAAAACAGAUUUUGUUUAGACGCCCGAAAGCUGAACCAACUCACCGUCAAAGACGCUUACCCNUUCCUGACUUACGAAGAUGCCGGACUAGGGUCAACGACUGUAGAGGAGCAUCGGAUCCAGUUGGUAGAGGGCGCGGAGCCGUUUAAGGAUCGACACUACCCUCAAUCCCCAGCGAUGCAGGAAGUGGUCUGGACCGAAGUGGACAAGAUGCUGGAACUAGGAGUGAUAGAGGUUAGCGAUAGUCCGUGGAGCAAUAGGACGACGGUAGUGCGGAAACCUAACAAAAACAGAUUUUGUUUGGACGCCCGAAAGCUGAACCAACUCACGUUGCAGAUGGAUCCUGAAAGAGUUUUGGCCACUCAAAGGAUUCCCAAUCCGAGUUCAGUGAAGGAACUAAGAAGCUUCCUAGGAACCGCAGGAUGGUAUAGGCGCUUCAUCAAGGAUUACGCUUCCAUUGCUGUGCCGCUAACAGACGCGCUGAAGAAGCAUCCGCGUGGAAAGUUUUCCCUGUCCACAGAGGCCGAGACGGCGAUAGGAUCCCUGAAGAAGGCACUCACCACGGCUCCGGUAUUAAGUCAUGCUGAUUUCAAGAAGCCUUUCUAUGUACAGUGCGACGCAUCGAAUUACGGAGUGGGAGCGGUGUUGUUUCAGUUGGACGUCGGAGGAGCCGAGCGUCCGGUGGCAUUCUUCUCCGCCAAGUUAAACAAGCAUCAGCUAAAUUAUUCUGUAACGGAAAAAGAGUGUUUAGCUGCGGUGUUGGCCAUUGAAAAAUUCCGACCGUACGUUGAAUUGAUGCCCUUCACGGUUAUUACGGAUCACGCCAGCCUGAAAUGGCUCAUGUCAUUGAAGGAUCUAAACGGACGUCUUGCGAGGUGGUCAUUGCGACUGCAGAGGUUUGACUUUGGGAUCGAACCCCGGAAAGGAGUCGACAACGUCGUGGCGGAUACACUCUCACGCUGCAUGCUGCUUCACCACUAUCUAGGUUGCCUCUAGGAGCCUAAGGUCUGCUGUCUCAAACUCAGAAGUCUUAUAGUCCUCGACUUUCUUCUUUAGCCGUUCUUAGUUCUGUACAACGGACUGGAUGCUCACCUUCCCCUACACUAUAAGUUCGCCAUGGCUUUCACGCAAAUGGACGACCAAGUGGAAGGGACCAUUUGGAAAGUAUGGAUUCCCGCGUCUCUGACGGAAACUCUCAUCUCCAAGGCCCACGAAGACCACACAGCUGGACACGGUGGACUUAAAAAGACCUUGCAUCGGCUUAGAAGGCAAUUCUACUGGCGUCGCUACUGCUGUGUUCACGCCCUCAUACAGGCCUUGACGCUACGAACAUUCCUCAGGUUUCGUGGGUUAAUAGCUUCGGUCCAUCCCUAGCCAGUCCUUCAGCAUUGCCUCUCCGGUAAGGUCUUUAAUAUGUAGCUAAAGGACCCCUUCAUAGGAGCCAGCUUUUCCCCUGUUCGAAGGAUUUUUGUCGUCGUAGACCACUUCUCUAAAUUCACCUUUCUAAAAGCGAUGAGAGAGGCGACAGCGGCGAACGUAGUUCAAUUCCUAGUACAGGAAGUGUUCUACAAGUUUGGGGUGCCCGAGGUGAUCCACUCCGACAACGGAAAGCAGUUCCUGUCGAAGAUCUUCCAGGACAUGAUUAGCACCUUCGGCGCCCGACAUCUGCGCACAGCAGUCUACUCACCACAGAGCAAUGCCGCCGAGAGGGUGAACCGGACAAUAUUAGCUGCAAUCAGGACGUAUUUAGAGAAGGAUCAUCGAGACUGGGACAUGUACCUACCGGAGAUUGAAGUGUCGAUCCGUGACUCAGUGCACGAAGCCACAGGCGUGACGCCGUUUUUUGCAGUUUUUGGACAGCAAAUGUUCCUUAAUGGGAACUGCUAUAAGUUGGCGAGGAAGCUGCAGUCGCUAACGGAGCAUGAGGUGCACGCAUUGGACCCCGCGGAUAAGUGCCACAUCAUCCGGGAACGUAUCAAGGCCAACCUUCACCAAGCGUACGAGCGCAGCAGCCAGCGCUACAACAAACGGGCCCGAAUAUUUUUCGCCAAACCUGGGCAAGAAGUAUACAGGCGCAACUUCACCAUCAGCGACUUUGGGAAGAGCUACAACGCCAAAUUCGCCCGGAAGUUCCUGAAGUGCCGAGUCGUACGUCCGGUUGGAAAUAAUGCCUACGAACUUGAAGACCUGGCGGGGAAACCGGUGGGGAUUUUUCACGCCAAAGACCUGAAAUUGUAGUGGGAAAGCUUUAGAAAGAGAAGGGAAGAAGAAUAGGGCACUCAUGUACAAACCGAGUGGGUGUGAGCCUACGUUGGGCGCUGCAAGUCCUUAGGGAAAGCGUUAGGUUUCAAUGUCCUUCGAGUGUUUGCGAAUAAUUCUUCCGUCCAGGCACGCCUGAAUUUUCGCUAGGUGUUGCAUUCGAAGGAGAGCGAUAUGCAAAAUACUAGAUUUGGUAGUAUUUUUUUUUGGAGGUUGAUAGGUCGAUAGGCGAAGGGGCAAGGCGAUCAACGGUGCCGGUGAGAGAGCGGCAGAAUGUAAGAGAGGGGAAUAUUGCGGGAUCCACGAGCCAGCUCACCCACACCCUCAAGAAUGCCAUGCUAUGCCCUUGAAUUUGGUUCAAGGGCAAUAGAAGAGAUGAGAUCAGCUGCAGCAAGGGGGACUGCGUAGAGUAGCUACGCUGAACAUGCCGGCAGUGGAAAAAUAGACAUCGGCAGUGUUAGUGAGUUUUGUGUGUGUGACCGUUUAGGAAAAAGAAAGACCGGCCAACGUAGAGGACCCUUUUACCCGAAUCGAAAUAAAAAGUGAGUCCAGUCCAAAGGGAAAAUGAAUCCCAGAUUCAAUAUUUUUAAAAUCCAUAGGGCAUAAAUUGUAUCGGCUGGCUUCUCGUAGAUGGGCCAAAAUUACCAUUCCCCGGCCCGCGGAAUCCUGGUCACACCCCUGCUCGGGCGCGACCCGCCACAGCGCCACUGACAAUUAAUAUAAUUAAUCUAUGCCUACAUAAACGCAUACCUAUUUACAUGCGUAUAUAAAGACACAAAGACACACAAAAAUAAUAUCUGUCUAUAUUAAUUAAUAUUCAAUUAAUUUGCCACCCCACAUAUAUUUACCGACCAUAUUAAUGUAAUAUAAAUGUAGUAUUUGUAUUUAUAUUUAUUUUAUUAUUUAUAUUUAUUAAUUUUUUUGAUUAUUCCCACCCAUNAGGGCAAUAGAAGAGAUGAGAUCAGCUGCAGCAAGGGGGACUGCGUAGAGUAGCUACGCUGAACAUGCCGGCAGUGGAAAAAUAGACAUCGGCAGUGUUAGUGAGUUUUGUGUGUGUGACCGUUUAGGAAAAAGAAAGACCGGCCAACGUAGAGGACCCUUUUACCCGAAUCGAAAUAAAAAGUGAGUCCAGUCCAAAGGGAAAAUGAAUCCCAGAUUCAAUAUUUUUAAAAUCCAUAGGGCAUAAAUUGUAUCGGCUGGCUUCUCGUAGAUGGGCCAAAAUUACCAUUCCCCGGCCCGCGGAAUCCUGGUCACACCCCUGCCCGGGCGCGACCCGCCACGGCGCCACCGACAAUUAAAUAAUUAAUCCAUGCCUACAUGAACGCAUACCUAUCUACAUGCAUAUAUAAAGACACACCAAAAUAAUAUCUGUCUAUAUUAAUUCAUAUUUAAUUAAUUAGCCGCCCCACAUAUAUUUACCGACCCUAUUAAUGUAAUAUAAAUGUAGUAAUUGUAUUUAUAUUUAUUUUAAUAUUUAUAUUUAUUAUUUUUGUGAUUAUUCCCACCCAUUAAUUUAAGUUGAAGAGUCGGGAAUAGGCGGACGCGCCACGAGACAUUAGUAUAGGGAUUUUUAGUUAAGUAUGUGUUAAGUUUUUGGUUUAAAUAUUAUAACGUUUAAAAUUAAGUGCUAGUGUUUUUAGUAUGGGGGGAAAGGGGACCACAACGGCGAGAUGGAGAAAGUCCGCCACACUUGGGAAGGAGAUCUGAGGUAUUCUGAGUCGCAUCUCAAGUAGAGUACGUAGGAGCUAGACCAUCGGCACCUCAGACUUGUCCACGUCUGUGUUGGAAAGAUGUUUGUCCGUUAGAUGUAGAGUAACGUCCGAUGCAUUGUUUUGAAUUAUCGUUUGUUUUUGAUAUUUGUUCGAGAUGUCCGAACAGUUGGUUUGUUGUGCGACCUGGGGGCCUGGGAAGAACUCAGCCCUGGGAUGACUGGCUAGCCGGCCUUGCCCCAACAUCAAAACAGGUUCGUAACAUAUCCCUAUACUGUGUCGCCUUUUUUUUCGUGAUUUUCCGAGGAUUUAUCUGCAGCGACAGGAAGCCGCACUCCCACAAACAUGGGUCCUUCGAGCCGGCUUCUUGCUGAAUCGAGAGUGUCCCAGCAAUCAUCGGUGGAUUCCAAAAAAAAAAAAAACAAAACUGCAGGUGAGUACGCUCACAUUUCCAUAUGUACAUAUAUUCUCAUGUACAUAUUGUCCGAUCCCGCUAAGAAUUUUCGUGUAAUUUUAUCCGCUACACCGCCAUAAUAUCGGCGUCCGACAUUUACAUAUGUACGUGCAUAUGUUUGUCAGAUCAGCACGCAAACACCCCGCCCCCAAAUAAAACACUCCUUCGAAAUGUUUUAUUGGCGUUAUUCAUUUCCAUAGAUUUGUAUAUUCUUACAUUCUAUAUUUACAGUGGAUAUUUUUUUUUUUUUUUGGGUUUUAUGUUACCGCUCCACCCUUGGGUUAAGGGGGAUUAUUUGGCCGCCCGCCUUUACAAGGUGGAAAUCGCCACGUCGAGAUUUGUAACUUGUUACAGUUUUACUCCAAUACUUACCUGGCGUAGAGGUUAUCUUUUAAUUGCCAUUUUAAUUUAGAAAAAAACUAAAAGUCCGACGCCCAUUAUAGUGUGACCGCAAUCGGAAUACAUUGGAUAUUUAAGUUAAAUAAUAAACAGCAUUAAUCCCGGGAAAAAUACCACCAAAAUACCAAAAACGACACUUCUACCACUAACCAAAUAGUAUAGUAGAUGGUCAAUUUGGAGGAAGCGAAACGUCACCGCAAAAAGUGCGUCGGGAAGUCCCAGGCCUCUGCCAACGUCGCAGCUACAAGUAUUGGUACAAUAACAACUUUUAUUGGUAUAUUUAUUUUUUCUAACCCCCAAAGGUCCGGCCACCAAUCCCCACCCCUCAUUCUGCACAUGAUGCAGUAGGUCAGUUUCAUACGCCAAACCCCGAAAACAAAAUCAAAUCAUCAAAACGAAUUUUCGUUCCAUCGCACUUCAGAAAGUCAGCGCACCAACACAUACAUUACUUGCAGUGUCCGUGUGAAUCAAGCCAGAACCGGUUUGGAGCGCUAAAAAAUCAUUGGCUACACGCACUUACACAGAUGUAGCUGGGACUUCUGGCUGCGUGCUCUACACGCACUAAUACAAAUGUAGCUGGGACUUCUAGCUGCGUGUUCUACACGCACUAAUACUUGUAGCUGCGACAUUGGCAGAGGCCUGGGACUUCCCGACGCACUUUCUGCGGUGACGUUUCGCUUAUAGGCAGCUGAUAGUCUGCUAUAUUAUUUGGUUAGUGCUUCUACAUACCACACUUGGUAUCUGUCUGCGCCUACGCGUUAGUCCCAUACGCGGUACCAGCACUCCGCUGCAUAUGCAAAUUUCGCGAUUACCGAGAUUCUAAGCAUUCCAGGCGCACCUGAAGCGACCCACAGCCAAAAGAAUUUCCCCCAAAUCCCGGAUAAAUUAAUCCGACAAAAGGCACAGCUCAUUUCCGCAGCCUUUUUUAAGUUUUUUCUCGCCAAUUUCCAAAUUGCCAAAAAUCUAGAGGUGAAAAACAAACACACUCUUAUCCAUCCGAGUGGACUAAAUAAAAUCCAAUAAAGAUAUAUAACGAGAAGGGCCGUGUGAGACGCUUCUUACGCGUCACAACUUUUACACCCGGCACUCAAUACUACAUCUGCACCUUAGCGGUUAUUUGUCAAAUUUUACAUUUUUUCUUCAUCUGUCAUCUACAUCUACAACACUUUUCACACCAAUACGCUCCGUUAGCUCGCCGCCCUUCCCUAGACACACACACUGCAGGCACGAGGCAGAGGCGUCCGCACAAAAAAAAAAAAAUACAAACAAAAGCUGCGGGACGGGGAGGCUUAAAAGUAGGAAGAGGCAUCGGCAGGGGGAGGGCAGAGGCAGGGGCCGAGUGAAGCAGAAGCAGAGUGUGAAUGAGAGAAUGUAAAAAGAACAAGAAAAGCAACGGGACAGGUUGGGUUUAGCCACUGGAAAUUAAUUUCACCAGUGUGGGUAUAAGAAUGAUCCAAUCGGAUCCCAAAAAAAAUUCAAAAUUGUAGAUCUAUGAGGUUUUUUGGGUGGAAGGGGGCGUGGCUCAUUUUUUAAAUACACUGGUGUGUUCAGUGUGAGCAUAUAGCACUCUGGAUGCAAAAUUUGGUGGCUCUAGCUCUUAUAGUCUCUGAGAACUAGCCGACAAACAAGACGGACAGACGGGCAGACUGACAUUCUAUCGACUCGUCUAUUGAUUCUAAUCAAGAAUAUAUAUACUUUAUGGGGUCGGAAACGAUUCCUUCUGUGCGUUACAUACAACCGUUAUUCCCCACAAAUACAAUAUACCCUAUUUACUCUUCGAGUACCGGGUAUAAAAAUAUCGUAGUCUAGUGCGGAUUCCGAUUUCGACUUUUUGGUGCAUUAAAACCACUGCCAAUAAGAAAAUAUUAUUUUUCUUGAGGUAUAUCGUCCGAUAGUUUUCUCGUGCUUGAUAGAGAAACAAUUCCUUGUUUUUCCAUCGAUAGGCUGACCACCUUGGAAGCACGGCUCACCACUUCCGGGACCACCACCCCAUUUUCCUCGGUUUCGAAGGUCCGUCGUGACCAGCUCCAAAACAUGUAUGGCGAAUGCUAUGAGGGCUACGAGCUGUGCUUAGCGGGCCUUAUUGCCCAAAUUGACCGCCCAUAAGUUCGUCCUCCAGUGCCGCAAGCCUCCCAGGGCGGCUGUCAUCUGCCCCCCUGUGAUAUUGAAGUUUUCACAGGGGAUUAAGUCCGCUGGCCUACGUUCCGGGACUUAUUCACCGCGACAUAUAUCGACAAUCCGAGGCUAUCUCCAGUGGAGAAGCUGUAACACAUCUCCACGAAGACCCGUGGCGAUCCGAAAGCCAUAGUCGAAAAGUCCCCACUCACCAACAACGGUUUCGAGGCAGCAUGGUCAGCCCUCCGUAACCGAUAUGAAAAUAAUCGACUCAUGGUGCCUCGCGUGGGUUCCGAGACCAGUCGUGCCUGGAAAAACCUUCAGAGCACCAUUCAAGGGGUUCUAACCGCCCUGGCUCACUCCAAGGUCUGCACAGACAUAGGGACAGUCUUCUUGUUACUAUCUGUGCUUCCAAGCUACCAAAACUGACCCAGGCUCUGUGGGAAGCGUCAGUAACUGACAAAAAGCCUCCCUGGACGGAAAUAGACUCCUUCCUCACAUAGCGAUACUUUACGCUAGAGGCCAUGGAGAGCGACCCUUCCCAGACUAGGAGCGAUCCGCAUCCGCCACCGUCCAAAGGCAAAACAAAUCCGAAACCCUCCGGAAGCCACGCCAACCCGUUCCGGUCUCAAGGUAGUCCUCCUCCGAGGAAUUUUCAAUCCUUCAGUACCCGCGUGAAUCCGAAGAAGUGUGAUCUCUGUUCCAAGGAAAAUCACCCAAUCCAACUAUGCCCGCACUUCCUCCAAAUGGACGUUGAAGCACGUUCUAGCUGCAUUAAGACGAAGCAGUUGUCCUUAAAUUGUUUUGCACGAGGUCGCCAGCUACGAUAGUGUACAAGCGCCCACAAUUGCGUGCCGUGUGGAGCCCGUCACCACAUGCUCCUGCAUCGCGGUACUCCAGCAUCCCGUGAGUCGUCCACAUCCGUACCCAAUUCUACAGCUUGGCCAGGCCCAAGCCCAAGUACAUACUACACAGAAUUCAGGUUUAUCCGAACCUCAAUCUCAUGUCCAGACAUAUUUUACCUGCAUGCUCCGCUCCGUUCCGCAAAUUACUAAUGCUUCUUCAACUUCGUCAUUUCGUCCUAGCCAAGUCGACCGCACCAUUCCGAGCAGACUUUCCGGAGGUACUGAGUCCUACCAAUGCCGAGUCUGCUCUGAAAUCCAUCCACUACGGAAGUGUCGCCGAUUUCUCCGCCUAAGGACCGAAGAUAGGCUCCGAGCUGUCCGAAACUUCAGCUACUGCACCAAUUGCCUGGCUCACCAGCACUCCGGACAGGAUUGCCGAAGCGGCGACCGGUGUACGGUGUGUGACCGGAGACACCACACG